UACGUAGGGUGCGAGCGUUGUCCGGAAUUAUUGGGCGUAAAGGGCUCGUAGGCGGUCUGUUGCGUCGGGAGUGAAAACUCAGGGCUUAACCCUGAGCCUGCUUCCGAUACGGGCAGACUAGAGGUAUGCAGGGGAGAACGGAAUUCCUGGUGUAGCGGUGAAACGCGCAGAUAUCAGGAGGAACACCGGUGGCGAAGGCGGGUCUCUGGGCAGUAACUGACGCUGAGGAACGAAAGCGUGGGUAGCGAACAGG
This 253-nucleotide ribosomal RNA is filed under the name uncultured bacterium. RNAcentral describes it as "partial 16S ribosomal RNA". It matches the Rfam family "Bacterial small subunit ribosomal RNA", at positions 524 to 776 of the family's 1533-position model. The record is from RNAcentral.